This 952-nucleotide long non-coding RNA is filed under the name Nicotiana tabacum (common tobacco). RNAcentral describes it as "long non-coding RNA (NTAB_LNC013963)". Lineage: Eukaryota; Viridiplantae; Streptophyta; Magnoliopsida; Solanales; Solanaceae. The record is from RNAcentral.
UUUUUUUUUUUUUUUUGUGAGAAGAAGCUCAAACCAAAUAUUCGACACGUCCAAAUGGAUUAAUUCUAAAUCGAACCUAAAAAUCUGAUCCAAUCUAAGCUUAUUUGGAUUGUAGUAAUUUCUUCAAUUUAAAAAUCAAAAAUCAAGACAACAAUUUUAAUAUUUAACUCGAAUUGCCCAAACACUCACCCCUAGUGCAGGGUGGAGAGAGAGUAGAGACGAGAAAGAAUAAUACUACAUUAGAAAUGAAUGACGAAACAAAAGUGAUCAAUUUUAAAGCUUAGUGAUUUACAUUGUCGAAGUGCAAUUAUAACCAUCUUGCCUAUUAUUCUUAAGAGUACAUCAAUGUAUGAGCUAUAAACAAGAAUUGCAUUAAUCAAAUAGAGAAAAAAAAACUACUAACAAGAGAAAGAUUAACACACAACCAAUAGAACUCUACAAAAGAUUAACAAUCACAGCCAGAUGUCUCAUCUGAUUUUAACAUGUUGCAUAGUAGACCAUUCUCUGUUUCGGUUGCUUCCUCAUAUUUUAGCAAGAUACCCCCCCCCCCACCCCAAACCAAACCCAAAGACAGUAAAAUGCAGGAUUUAGGCGGUAAUACACGAAUUCCAGCAAAGGAAGCAACGAAUAAGAAACUAAUACACAUCUCGAGAAACUGUUUUGUUUGCAUCAUGUUUAUCAAAUCAAAACAUACCCCCCUCCUUGGCCAGGGGGGAAUAAACAAAGCUGGUGAAUUUCACCCAUCUAACUAGAAAGUAAACUUUAUUAUGAGUCACGGAAAUAUUAAUGCAUCAUCAUACAUGCACUUACAGGCAUGACAUAUGUGCCCCUCUUCAAGAAGGUCAUACCUUUCUAUAUUUCAAAUACAUGCUUGUUUCCCAGAUGUAGGAACAUUCUAUACUGUGCUUAAAUGCGUGACCUUGAAGCUGAAGAUGUAGAAGCAGGUGCACUC